GUGCUUGCUUCGGCAGCACAUACACUAAAACUGAAAUGAUACAGAAAAAAAUAGCAUGUCCCUGUGCAAGGAUUACAUGCAAAUUCAUGAAGCAUCCAUUUUUUAU
Small nuclear RNA from Microtus ochrogaster (prairie vole), 106 nucleotides. The record is from Ensembl. NCBI's taxonomy places the organism in Eukaryota, Metazoa, Chordata, Mammalia, Rodentia, Cricetidae.